Non-coding RNA from Apaloderma vittatum (bar-tailed trogon), 79 nucleotides. The record is from Rfam. NCBI's taxonomy places the organism in Eukaryota, Metazoa, Chordata, Aves, Trogoniformes, Trogonidae.
GGCUGGUUAGCACAGUGGUUUGAGCGCGGUGCUGACAGUGAUCAACACCGAGGUCGCGGGUUCGAUUCCCGCUCGGUCC